UACAGAGGGUGCGAGCGUUAAUCGGAAUUACUGGGCGUAAAGCGUGCGUAGACGGUUAUUUAAGUCGGAUGUGAAAGCCCCGGGCUCAACCUGGGAAUUGCAUUCGAGACUGAAUAGCUAGGGUGCGGUAGAGGGAAGCGGAAUUUCCGGUGUAGCGGUGAAAUGCGCAGAUAUCAGGAGGAACACCGGUGGCGAAGGCGGUUCUCUGGGCAUGAUCUGACGCUGAGGAGCGAAAGUGUGGGGAGCAAACAGG
RNAcentral lists this ribosomal RNA (253 nucleotides) under uncultured bacterium. Its description in RNAcentral is "partial 16S ribosomal RNA". It matches the Rfam family "Bacterial small subunit ribosomal RNA", at positions 524 to 776 of the family's 1533-position model. The record is from RNAcentral.